GGCGCAAGCCGAUGCAGCAUGCCGCGUGUAUGAAGAAGCCUUCGGGUGUAAGUACUUUAGCGGGGAGGAGGUGUGUGGUAAUAACCGCAGCAAUUGACGUUACCGCAAGAAGCACCGGCUAACUCCGUGCCAGCAGCCCGCGGUAAUACGGAAGGGUGCAAAGCGUUUAAUUCGGAAUUACUGGGGCGUAAAAGCGCACGCAGGCGGUCUGUUUAAGUCAGAUGUGAAAUCCCCGGGCUCAACCUGGGGAACUGCAUCCUGAUACUGGCAGGCUUGAGUCUCGUAGAGGGGGGUAGAAUUCCAGGUGUAGCGGUGAAAUGCGUAGAAGAUCUGGAGGAAUACCGGUGGCGAAGGCGGCCCCCUGGACGAAGACUGACGCUCAGGUGCGAAAGCGUGGGGAGCAAACAGGAUUAGAUACCCUGGUAGUCCACGCCGUAAACGAUGUCGACUUGGAGGUUGUGCCCUUGAGGCGUGGCUUCCGGAGCUAACGCGUUAAGUCGACCGCCUGGGGAGUACGGCCGCAAGGUUAAAACUCAAAUGAAUUGACGGGGGCCCGCACAAGCGGUGGAGCAUGUGGUUUAAUUCGAUGCAACGCGAAGAACCUUACCUGGUCUUGACAUCCACAGAACUUGGCAGAGAUGCCUUGGUGCCUUCGGGAACUGUGAGACAGGUGCUGCAUGGCUGUCGUCAGCUCGUGUUGUGAAAUGUUGGGUUAAGUCCCGCAACGAGCGCAACCCUUAUCCUUUGUUGCCAGCGGUUAGGCCGGGAACUCAAAGGAGACUGCCAGUGAUAAACUGGAGGAAGGUGGGGAUGACGUCAAGUCAUCAUGGCCCUUACGACCAGGGCUACACACGUGCUACAAUGGCAUAUACAAAGAGAAGCGACCUCGCGAGAGCAAGCGGACCUCAUAAAGUAUGUCGUAGUCCGGAUUGGAGUCUGCAACUCGACUCCAUGAAGUCGGAAUCGCUAGUAAUCGUGGAUCAGAAUGCCACGGUGAAUACGUUCCCGGGCCUUGUACACACCGCCCGUCACACCAUGGGAGUGGGUUGCAAAAGAAGUAGGUAGC
This 1066-nucleotide ribosomal RNA is filed under the name Citrobacter sp. 118_24. Its description in RNAcentral is "bacterial SSU rRNA". It matches the Rfam family "Bacterial small subunit ribosomal RNA", at positions 374 to 1434 of the family's 1533-position model. Lineage: Bacteria; Pseudomonadati; Pseudomonadota; Gammaproteobacteria; Enterobacterales; Enterobacteriaceae. The record is from RNAcentral.